UACGUAGGGGGCAAGCGUUAUCCGGAUUUACUGGGUGUAAAGGGAGCGUAGGUGGCAUGGUAAGCCAGAAGUGAAAACCCAGGGCUCAACUCUGUGGAUUGCUUUUGGAACUAUCAGGCUGGAGUGCUGGAGGGGUAAGCGGAAUUCCUAGUGUAGCGGUGAAAUGCGUAGAUAUUAGGAGGAACACCGGUGGCGAAGGCGGCUUACUGGACAGAAACUGACACUGAGGCUCGAAAGCGUGGGGAGCAAACAGG
RNAcentral lists this ribosomal RNA (254 nucleotides) under uncultured bacterium. RNAcentral's name for it is "partial 16S ribosomal RNA". It matches the Rfam family "Bacterial small subunit ribosomal RNA", at positions 524 to 776 of the family's 1533-position model. The record is from RNAcentral.